Molecule: transfer RNA, 75 nt
Filed under: Deinococcus sp. D7000
Lineage: Bacteria; Thermotogati; Deinococcota; Deinococci; Deinococcales; Deinococcaceae
Description: tRNA-Met
Rfam family: tRNA
About the family: Transfer RNA (tRNA) molecules are approximately 80 nucleotides in length. Their secondary structure includes four short double-helical elements and three loops (D, anti-codon, and T loops).
Source: RNAcentral
GGCGAUGUAGCUCAGCUUGUAGGGGAACGACUCAUAAUCGUUAGGUCCGCGGUUCAAGUCCGCGCAUCGCCACCA